RNAcentral lists this ribosomal RNA (501 nucleotides) under uncultured bacterium. RNAcentral describes it as "partial 16S ribosomal RNA". It matches the Rfam family "Bacterial small subunit ribosomal RNA", at positions 29 to 523 of the family's 1533-position model. The record is from RNAcentral.
AUUGAACGCUGGCGGCAUGCCUUACACAUGCAAGUCGAACGGCAGCACGGGUGCUUGCACCUGGUGGCGAGUGGCGAACGGGUGAGUAAUACAUCGGAACGUACCUUAUCGUGGGGGAUAACGCAGCGAAAGCUGUGCUAAUACCGCAUACGCCCUGAGGGGGAAAGCGGGGGAUCGAAAGACCUCGCGCGACUAGAGCGGCCGAUGCCGGCUUAGCUUGUUGGUGGGGUAAAAGCCCACCAAGGCGACGAUCAGUAGCUGGUCUGAGAGGACGAUCAGCCACACUGGGACUGAGACACGGCCCAGACUCCUACGGGAGGCAGCAGUGGGGAAUUUUGGACAAUGGGGGCAACCCUGAUCCAGCAAUGCCGCGUGAGUGAAGAAGGCCUUCGGGUUGUAAAGCUCUUUUGUCAGGGAAGAAACACCGGCUCUAACACAGUCCGGGAAUGACGGUACCUGAAGAAUAAGCACCGGCUAACUACGUGCCAGCCGCCGCCGUAA